This is an RNA transcript of Hevea brasiliensis (rubber tree), 3831 nucleotides long. It is a transcript of the gene named transcription factor TCP4, with no coding region annotated. NCBI's taxonomy places the organism in Eukaryota, Viridiplantae, Streptophyta, Magnoliopsida, Malpighiales, Euphorbiaceae. The record is from RefSeq and is a predicted model, not a curated record. The transcript is spliced from 3 exons.
AAAAAACUUCAUGAAAAAUAUUUUCACAGUCAAAUUACUUUCAGGAAACAAAUGGGUCUUAGAAAUGAUAUAAUGCAAAUUAAUUUUAAUCUUGCAACUUCAACUGGCGAUUCCGUACUACACCGAACCACCAGCCAGGUCUGCCACGGGCAGUUCAAUAAUGCAGAAUGGAGGUAUGCAAGAAUUUUCCUCAAAAGAACAUUGAUAUCAUAUGCUGCCUCAGAAAAAGAAAACGGGAAAAAGGACAGACCUUAAGAUGCCAUGUACAAAAAUCCAAGAAACCAGAAAAAGAUGGAUUGCGAGAAGGAAAUUGAGGGAAAAGAAAGAAAGAAAGAUGAUGUUGUUUCUUUUAUGUGAAGCAAGAGAGAGGGCAGAGAAAAGGCCGUAAGGGAGAGUCGCUUUCAAAAGGCGUGGGCAGUGGUGGUGGCAUAUAAAGGAUCUAAUCUAUCAAGACAAUCCAGAGACUACCACCCUGGAACUAUAACCAACUAUUCUAACUGCUAGCCAAGUGGUAAAAAUCUUAAAAGAACCGAAUGAGAUAGAGAUUGUGAAGAUAAAGAACAAAGACUAGAAAUGAGAAAGAAAUGGUUUGAGAGAGAGUUGAAACUUGGAGCUACCUGGCCCUUGAUUGAAUGAGGAGGGUUUUGGGUUUGUGGAUUUGGUUAGGGUAGUACAAAGAACGGCAGGAGCAAGCAGAAGCAGCGGAUGCAGUGGUGAGAUCACAGAAAUCUUUAAUCUCUUUUCUGACCAAACACUAUUACUAUCCUUGUUACUGGUAUCAUCAUCCAUAGCUCCUGUCCUAGGUCAAGGGAAAUUGAGAAUUCCUCUCUUCCCCUGUAGAAUUAGUACCCUAUACAUUUACUGUUCUGUUCUCUAGCACUAUCCCCACCUCCCCUGACCUUAUUUUCUUUCUAGAAUCUAUGAAAGUGGUGCAGGAGAUUUCCCAAGAAGACGCCUUUUGAGAAAUUGGGUGUAUUUCUGGGUUUUCUAGGUCUAGUGGGUAUUGCCUAUAUAAUCAUUUCAAUUAGUGCAUAGUACAUAAAGAGAGGCCCAAUUACCAAAAGCUUAGUAGAGAGAGAGAGAGAGAGAGAGAGAGAGAGAGAGAGAAGGAAAGAGAUGGGUUAGGUUGCAAAUAGAGCGGGAGGGUUCUGAGUUGGUUUUCAGUUUCGGGUGGUGGCGUUGGGUGUCAUGGAAGUGGAAAUAUUGAAUGGCCGGGCCUUUUGGGAGAGGCAGCAGCAGAAGCAGGUAUCAGAGUGGUGGCAGCAGUUGCACAAGCAGCAAGAGGAGAUUAGGAAGCAGAGACAAAGACAGAGCAGUAAAGAAACAACCACCACCCACUAAAGAAAAGUGCCCUCUAUUAAAAGCAGGAACAGAAAAAGCACAAGGGCCUGAGUCUGGAUCCUCAAAGGAAUCAUCAUCACCUUCACAAUUGUCAUCAACAUCAAGAAAUCAUAGCGCUAAAUUCAAGACAUGUAGAGGGAGGAGGGGAAAGAGAGCACCAAGAACAAAAGCACCAUUACUACCAUCAACAAUUACCCUUUCUUCUCCAACAAGGUCCAAACCAACAUUUCUAUCAAAGAUUGGAUUUACAACAAAUACAAAACCCUCUAAACCCAUCAAAGAAACGAUCUUGCUUCUCUUCUUCUUCCUCUUCUUCUUCAACCUUCCCGGGGCAGAGCAUCGAAUAUGCAAGAAAAAUGGGAGAAAGCCACCAACAAGCAGCUGCAUCGUCGAGACUGGGGACAAGGAACACAGGAGGCGAGAUAGUGGAGGUCCAAGGAGGCCACAUUGUCCGCUCAACCGGAAGAAAAGACCGCCACAGCAAGGUCUGUACAGCAAAAGGCCCCAGAGACCGCCGCGUCCGGCUUUCAGCCCAUACUGCAAUCCAGUUCUACGACGUGCAGGACCGCCUUGGCUAUGACCGCCCCAGCAAGGCUGUUGAUUGGCUAAUCAAGAAAGCCAAGGCUGCCAUAGACGAACUCGCUGAGCUACCCGCGUGGCAUCCUACUACUGCAACCACCACCGCCACCACUCAAACUGGCAUCCAACAGGAUCAGUUAACUGAUCAGAGAGAUAAUCGCCUUCCCAUGGAGAAUCUUGCUGUCGUAGGCGGUUCUGGUAGUGUCAGUACAAGAACAGUAGUAGCAGCAGCAACCACAAUAGCAACAGCAGCAACAAUGGGAGCAGAUAUUCAAAAUAUGGAGCAGCAGCAACAUCUGGCAGAAAAUCCCAACAAUAGUUCCGGUUUUCUGCCACUAUCUCUAGACUCGGAUGCCAUUGCAGAUACAAUCAAAUCUUUCUUCCCAAUGGGUGCAUCGGCGGAGACAUCAUCCGCGUCAAUACAGUUUCAGAACUACCCACCAGAUUUGCUAUCAAGGACCAGUAGCCAGAACCAAGAUCUGCGGUUGUCACUACAGUCAUUCCAAGAGCCAAUUCUUUUGCAGCAGUCACAUCAUGGUCAUACUCAAAAUGAACAGCAAGUUUUGUUGUCUGGAACUGCCCAUGAUCUCGGAUUUGACGGUGGGUCUUCUGCUGGGUGGUCUGAGCACCACCAGCAUCACUCAGCAGAAAUCAGCAGAUUCCAGAGAAUGGUGGCCUGGAAUGCUGGUGGUGCAGCCGAAACUGGUAGUGGUGGAGCUAGUGGCAGUGGUGGAUUUAUCUUCAACCCGACACUGUCACAAACGGUAUUGCCGCCGCCACUGUCGCAGCCGUUUUUUGGCCAAAACCAGUUUUUUUCUCAGAGGGGAACCCUUCAGUCCAGUAUCACGCCUUCAGUUCGUGCUUGGAUAGAUCCAGGAAUCACCUCCAAUCACCAUCAACACAAUCAAAUCCCACAAAUCCAUCAGCAACAAUCUUCGAUAUCAGGCGGAGGAUUCACCGCCUCCGUUGCUGGAUUCUCUGGGUUUCGCGUUCCAGCACGAAUUCAGGGCGAAGAAGAGGAGCACGACGGCAUCCACAACAAGCUGUCCUCUGCUUCCUCUGAUUCUCGCCAUUGACACAGCAAAAAACCUCCCAAAAUCUCACAUAAUAGGUCUGCUACAAGACCAAUAUAGAGGGAAGAACAUGGAUUCAGGACCAGUUAAAAGGAGAGAUUUUGGUCCAUUUGAAAUGGUUCAAUGGCAAAAACCAUAGGAGGAGAAAGAUCUGAGUGGAUUUUUCAGCUUGAUUAUCAACAAUUGUGUUGGACAGUUUUUUAGCUUUGGUGCUCACCUUCCCAUUUGACAAAGCAGGCUUGGUUGCGAGUGUUAUUUUCAUCUCUGAUUUGCUCACUUCCACACUCUGGACUUUCUUUGGGUUAGUAGGCUGAGCAUGAAUCCGAAUCUCCCAUGGGCGAGCAGCGAUCCAACGCUCCUUCCAGCUCCAACCCCAAUUUUCCUUGCCAAUGCUGUAAUAUGCCUGGCCGAGAUACUGGCUAGGAUUGGCUCUCCACUGCAAAUCAAAAUGACUUACUCUGACCUUCAAUAGAAACAUAAGUUAAAAGAAUCAAGAGUGCAAAAACAUAUCACAGAUGGUGAACCUGAUGAGAGAAGGCAUAUGCCAUUGCUCGCUCACGCUUAACUGCUGCUUCUUCUCUAUGUUGGAUCCUGGAGAGGAUUUCUUCCAUGGUGUCAGAGCCUCCACACCAUUCUACCUAUGAGACAAGUUAAACCUACAAUUAAGAAAAUGAUGACUAGGGUUCCUAAAUUGUAGUAUUAAUAGUUCAGAAGCACUUCAUUGCUUUUCAAAUCAUACAUCGAAGGAACCUUUGCUUUCCCAAGGAAAAAACAAAAAAUUAUUGCCAAUGCACCUUGGUCCUAAAACAAGCUUAACAAUAUAAGUUGAGAACCCAUA